Molecule: transfer RNA, 71 nt
Filed under: Hyphessobrycon flammeus
Lineage: Eukaryota; Metazoa; Chordata; Actinopteri; Characiformes; Acestrorhamphidae
Description: tRNA-Asp
Rfam family: tRNA
About the family: Transfer RNA (tRNA) molecules are approximately 80 nucleotides in length.
Source: RNAcentral
AUGAUACUAGUAAAAAUCUAUUACAUUGUCUUGUCAAGACAAAAUUGUAGGUUAAAAUCCUGCGUAUCUUA